CCCCUAGAUGUUCUGGGCCGCACGCGCGCUACACUGAACAGUUCAACAAGUCUUAACCUUGGCCGAUAGGUCUGGGUAAUCUUUGAACGCUGUUCGUGAUUGGGAUAGACCUUUGCAAUUAUGGGUCUUCAACGAGGAAUUCCUAGUAAACGCAAGUCAUCAGCUUGCAUUGAUUACGUCCCUGCCCUUUGUACACACCGCCCGUCGCUACUACCGAUUGAAUGGUUUAGUGAGAACUCGGGACUGGCACUAAGGGGCUGGCAACAGCCUAUUAGAGCCGGGAACUUGCUCAAACUUGAUCAUUUAGAGGAAGUAAAANUCGUANCA
Molecule: ribosomal RNA, 327 nt
Filed under: uncultured eukaryote
Lineage: Eukaryota
Description: partial 18S ribosomal RNA
Rfam family: Eukaryotic small subunit ribosomal RNA
Source: RNAcentral